RNAcentral lists this ribosomal RNA (253 nucleotides) under uncultured bacterium. RNAcentral's name for it is "partial 16S ribosomal RNA". It matches the Rfam family "Bacterial small subunit ribosomal RNA", at positions 524 to 776 of the family's 1533-position model. The record is from RNAcentral.
UACGGAGGGUGCAAGCGUUGUCCGGAUUUAUUGGGUUUAAAGGGUGCGUAGGCGGCCCUGUAAGUCAGUGGUGAAAUUCUUGAGCCUAACUGAAGGAUUGCCAUUGAUACUGUAGGGCUUGAGUACAGAUGAGGUAGGCGGAAUUGAUGGUGUAGCGGUGAAAUGCAUAGAUACCAUCAAGAACACCGAUUGCGAAGGCAGCUUACUAAGCUGUAACUGACGCUGAUGCACGAAAGCGUGGGGAUCGAACAGG